CUGAGCAGUAUGCCUCACUGACAGAGCAGCUGUGUGUAUUUGUAGCCUCACUACCAAACCAGCAUUUCAUCUCCGAGGAAGUUAUCCCAGAGAGAAGUAAAGCAAGUGUACAGGAUUGUAAGGAUUGCUGGUCAGUGCUGUUAUCCCCUGCUGUGAGGUCGCUGUGGGAGUGCAUGCAUGCACGACCGCAUCAAGGCACACCAUUAUACCACUAAACUGCAUGCCAGCCCUAAGGAAAAGGAGCAUAUGAGGUGCAGUAUCCUAACUAUUCUGGACAGAGACUUCUGAUGCUGCACAUGAAAUCGGCAAGACCACUGUUCCAGUUUUGGCUUUACAAGGAUGAAGGUGGGUUUGUUGAAGUACAGUCAGGUCAGGUCCAUAUGUAGUUAGACACUGACACACUUUUUUUUUUUUUUUUUACCUGUUUACUAAAUGUGUAGACUCUCCACAUUCAGAUUAGAUUAAGGGUUUAGGAGUUUCAGCUCCUUAACAUUUGC
Long non-coding RNA from Oreochromis aureus, 497 nucleotides. NCBI's taxonomy places the organism in Eukaryota, Metazoa, Chordata, Actinopteri, Cichliformes, Cichlidae. The record is from Ensembl.